UACGUAGGGUGCGAGCGUUGUCCGGAAUUACUGGGCGUAAAGGGCGCGUAGGCGGCCUUCUAAGUCGAACGUGAAAUCCCCGGGCUCAACCCGGGAACUGCGUCCGAUACUGGAAGGCUUGAAUCCGGGAGAGGGAUGCGGAAUUCCAGGUGUAGCGGUGAAAUGCGUAGAUAUCUGGAGGAACACCGGUGGCGAAGGCGGCAUCCUGGACCGGCAUUGACGCUGAGGCGCGAAAGCCAGGG
RNAcentral lists this ribosomal RNA (242 nucleotides) under uncultured bacterium. RNAcentral's name for it is "partial 16S ribosomal RNA". It matches the Rfam family "Bacterial small subunit ribosomal RNA", at positions 524 to 765 of the family's 1533-position model. The record is from RNAcentral.